RNAcentral lists this ribosomal RNA (451 nucleotides) under uncultured bacterium. Its description in RNAcentral is "bacterial SSU rRNA". It matches the Rfam family "Bacterial small subunit ribosomal RNA", at positions 1052 to 1504 of the family's 1533-position model. The record is from RNAcentral.
UCGUCAGCUCGUGUCGUGAGAUGUUGGGUUAAGUCCCGCAACGAGCGCAACCCUUGCCUUUAGUUGCCAGCAUUAAGUUGGGCACUCUAGAGGGACUGCCAGGGAUAACCUGGAGGAAGGUGGGGAUGACGUCAAAUCAUCAUGCCCCUUAUGCUUAGGGCUACACACGUGCUACAAUGGGUGGUACAGAGGGCAGCCAAGUCGUGAGGCGGAGCUAAUCCCUUAAAGCCAUUCUCAGUUCGGAUUGUAGGCUGAAACUCGCCUACAUGAAGCUGGAGUUACUAGUAAUCGCAGAUCAGAAUGCUGCGGUGAAUGCGUUCCCGGGUCUUGUACACACCGCCCGUCACACCACGGAAGUUGGGGGCGCCCGAAGCCGGAUUGCUAACCUUUUGGAAGCGUCCGUCGAAGGUGAAAUCAAUAACUGGGGUGAAGUCGUAACAAGGUAGCCGUA